AGCUCCAAUAGCGUAUAUUUUUGUUGUUGCAGUUAAAAAGCUCGUAGUUGAAUUUCUGGUGGGAGGAUGUGGUGCAACGUAGUUGCUACUGGCAGCCUCCGGCCAUCCUUGGGUUUAGCCAUUCUGGCAUUAAGUUGUCGGGGUGGGGAUGCCCAUCGUUUACUGUGAAAAAAUUAGAGUGUUCAAAGCAGACUUAUGUCGUUGAAUAUAUUAGCAUGGAAUAAUAAGAUAGGACUACAGUGCUAUUUUGUUGGUUUGCGCACCGUGGUAAUGAUGAAUAGGGACAGUUGUGGGUAUUCGUAUUCACUUGUAAGAGGUGAAAUUCUUAGAUUAAGGGAAGACGAACAAAAGCGAAAGCAUUUACCAAGGAUGUUUUCA
RNAcentral lists this ribosomal RNA (378 nucleotides) under uncultured marine Chaetocerotaceae. RNAcentral's name for it is "SSU rRNA". It matches the Rfam family "Eukaryotic small subunit ribosomal RNA", at positions 587 to 972 of the family's 1831-position model. The record is from RNAcentral. Lineage: Eukaryota; Bacillariophyta; Thalassiosirophyceae; Chaetocerotales; Chaetocerotaceae.